AACAUCUAUAUUCAUUCCCCUGAAUUCAUCAAUUUGUCUAAAAACAAAAACCAUAAAAAGGAAACUAUACACACAUUCAAAUGAGUCCUGUUUAAUUUCUGACAAAGAGUUCUUGCCUUUUUCCUGAAUAUUGAGGACACAGGAGUUUGGGGUUGCUAGUGCCAACCUAAAGAGGAGUUCUAAAAUUUAAAACAAGUAAACUACGUAAUGUUACUAAGAGAAACAUUACUUGUGAAAACAUUUUGCUCAGAGUCCGGCCAAAAUCUGCCUAAAACUGGUCUCGUUUUUAGGCGCCCGCUCUUUAGACUUAAAUCUUUAAAACCCCUGCUUUCUGCACCCUUGGUUCCUUAGCUUUCAGUGGAUUUCUUCCUUUUUUCAUUCUAAAUACUCAACUGUCCCAGCUGGAGCGCCUCUGUACAUGCAGCUGCCAGUUACAGUGUCCUCUUCCCUUACUACACCUUUAUUUUUGGUUUCUUUUCUUCAGGAGCCCAGCACUCCAGAACAAUUCCUUGGCUUCCUGUGUCAUCUACUCUUCAGGUGAAAAGCUGCUUAAAUGUGUCCUCACGGUCUUGUCACUAGAUACCAAUUUAAGGCUCAGUUUGGGACAUACUUAUUCCCUGGGCUACCUCUCAGAUGCAUAUUGGUGAUAUUUUACAGAAAAGUGAGUGAAAGUUGCUUUUCCCUGCUGCCCCUAGUGGAGUCCAUUAAUUAUGCAUUUAUGUCAGCUGUCGCUGUCACACUGGGAGAAGGGAAGCCAUAUGGACAAAAAGGAUCAUCCUGGCCAGGAGGGCUCUGGAUACUGGCAUCAGCAGCUGAAGGGUCCUGGGCGUUGCCCUUAAGAGCUGUCUCUCUUCCCUGUGAGUCUGGUUUGGGGACAAGAGGGGAAAUGCCUGCCAGAGGGUUAGGGAUUUUUGCCAUUAGCAAGGAACUGGAGUCUCUUCCUGUCUUUUUCUAUGACACUUGCCUGAGAAGGAUUCUGCAUUGUGCAGAAGGCUAAAAGCAGAGUCACACGUUCUCUGCUAACAGACUUGUUGCCAUGGGAACCAAUGCAGAAAAACGAAAAUAAGACUAGAAGUGAAAAAUCAAAUGUGGAAAAAAAGAAUUGCCACGGAAUUGGUUUCUACAUGGCAAUUUGGGCAUUUGGGAUUUAAAGAAAGAGCCCGUUCCCCAAGUGGUCAGAUCAAUGGAAGUGGACGAACUGCCGAGCUGGUCGCUGAUCCCAGGAGGCCAGAGAUAGUGGUGCAGGGAGAGAGUGGUGUGGAGGUUGCAGCUUGCAGGAGGGGAACUUUGUAAAAUCCAGUUCCAUCCCGAUAAAGGUAAGCUCUUCAGCCCAAAUGUUCAGCUAACUGUAUGAUCAGACAUGCCCCUCGGGAAAACACAUCUAUGCUUAGCUCCAUAAACAAAAGCAGCCUGCUGUAACAAUCCUAACCUUCCACAGCCAGCACACGUUACCUGACAAGAUUAUUGCACAACUAGCAUAUUAUUGCUUGAAGCAUCUUUCCAAAUAUUCAAAAACAGGGCCGGGGAUUUAGGCCAGUGGUUCCGUCGCCUGCCUCGCAAGCGCAAGGACCUGAGUUCGAUCCCCGGUACCAAAAAAAACAACAAAAAAACAAAGAGUGACAAUAACAAACCCCACACCUUGCAAAUGGGCAGCUCCCAUCCCCCACAAGAUAAGCUAUUAUAAGUAACUUAAAAUUUACUUAUUAGGGAAAUAAUUAUUUCACUUCGCUUGAUACAAGUCCUCCCUGUAUUCUGGACUUGAUAAUAAAUUGAUUGAAGUAGACUAUAGGACCCCAGGAAAAUCUUCAGCACGGAUUUAAGUUUCACCCUAAUCUGAGAAAAACAGACAUUUGUGUUGUAUUUUCAGAGGCUCCGUGGGAACUGCACCUGUGUUGUCCCCAAGCCUCCCCAAAGGUUAUUUCCUGAAAUUCUAUAAUUAAUGCUUUAUUCCUGUGGCUGUAGCCUGGGCCUGUAUUGAAAUGCAAUUACCCUCAGGAGCUGGGGAAAGGUCACACUGUUGAUGACUUGAUUCCCCAGAGAGCUAAGUUUCAGACAGUACUAAGACUCUUCACCUUAACCCUCCCAUCCUCCCUCAAACACAGACGGAGAAGAAACUAGGAACACAACAUCCACCUGUACAACAGGUAGGGAUGCGGCCCAGGAAGCAGAUUACCUACCAGGUAUGGCUUACCAGGUAAGUUCCAUCUUUAGGGGACAUCUCACGACAAAUGCCCUGAAUAACUUUGCUCUUUGUGUCCAAAGUACACUGCACAUAGAUUUCACUAGAAACACUUUCUUACUGAUGACUUCCUGCCUAUUUGAGCUCCUUGCUGAAGCCUUUACCAAUCUUCAAUUCUUGCAAUAACAAAAGCCCAUUAGGUUAUCUUCUUCUAAGAGUACUUUCACAACUCCAAAAUCCAAUAAAAUACCGGUGUUUUCUCCCACUUGUGAUCUGGAGGCACGCUCCACAAUGCACACAGGACCCUACCCAGAGGUUUGAGUACAGUGGUCUCCCUGAUGUUAGCCAAUUUCUUAUGCCAACAUUUCGGUGAAUUCCAGGAGUGGAGACACACAUGCUUGGUUUUGGCAGGUGGGAGUUAUUAUAAAAAGCCUUGAUUUUCUCUUCUUUCUUUUCUUUUCUUUUCUUUUUUUUUUUUUUUUUAACUAAGAACAGAGAAGUAGAUUGCUUUCCGAGAUAGGCCAAUAAAACAUACUCGUAUCUUCACAAGCAGCUAUGCCUUUGAAUUUGCCAUAUGAUAAAGAGGAGAUGGAUGCUUCUCAUUUCUAUAUGGUCUUUCUACAAGCACCUGAUGCCUGGAGAGAGACUAUCUGGUCACUCCUGAAAAAGGAUUAGCUCUUGCCACAACCCCUCUGAUCUAACCGGUAGAUCAUACCUUGAGCUUCUCCAGCAGAGGAGAAGUCACCCACCACUACCUUAUUUAGUAAUUUUUAUCGCAUUUGUUCAUUCCUCAGACAAGAACAACUUAAAACUUAACAACAAAUCUCGUAAGGUACUGAAAAUUAAAAUUCUACUCCUUUCAGUUUUUAAAAGUUGAUUUGACCUCUUAACCCUACAAGGUUAUACAAGUGAUUCUCCACAGUAUCAUGUACCUUAAAAUGUCAUAGAUGUAACUUGCAGUUUUUUCUAGUUUAUCACAUAGCUCAGUAUUUCACAAAAGGAUCAACUUCUUUGACAUUAAGAUUGGUUUUUCACUACCACGGGCAUUUGGAAAUUAAGAGAUUUGGAACCAUUAGUGGCAUAAUCAUUCAGUGUGGCAGGCAUUGUGUUUUACAGAACUAACUUUUAAAACCCAACAGCUCUCCCAUAUUGGCCACUGAAUAUACAUAGUGAUAUAGGGAUUUUUUUCAAUACCUUCCACCUGGAUAUCCAGCAUAUUCUCAAAGUGUUAUUUGAAGGUCAAGAGCCUUUGAAUAACUAUUUUCAAAGCACAAUCUUAUUUUCAAAUGUAUGCACACUGCAUAAUCCAUUACAUGCUUUUGAUAAAUUCAUAUUUCCUAAGAUAAUGCAAAAAGUCCAGAUCAAGGCUAAAACUCACCCAUUGUUUGAACCUAUCUUUAUUAUAUAGCUGCUGUUCCACCUUUUGGCUAACCCUAAAGCAUUAAGAAGCUAAUCCUAACAUGAAUAAAAAACUUUGAUUUUUAACCUUAAACAGCAAAGACUGGUAUUUUGUUGGAAAUAAACAAAUUCUACUGUUCAACUUGCCAAUGGCGUUUAAUAUCUGAAGAGAUUCCUCCUUUGGACUAACUUUUGGGAAUUUGGAACACUGUCACUUUUCAGCACUUAGGAAUGCUGCUGGGCAGCUGCAAUUGGCAGUCCUGGGGUGCCCCGAGAGAAGGUCUGGUGGGGCUGGCCACACUGGGCUUCCCACUGGCCACUGAAGAGGCACACAUGGGCUUGAUCUAUGCCUUCCUCAUUCUAGGCUCUCUGUAGUUUAUUUCCUAGAAAACAUUAUCUUAAGUGUUGUUCAAGUUGCAUUCCUUUUUUUAUUUUGUACUGAGGAUCGAACUCAGAACCUUGUGCUUGUGAGGCAGGAGCAAUGCCACUGAGCUAAAUCCCCAGCCCACUCCUUUCUGAGUGGUAUGUGUCCUAUCCUGUCCUUACACACAAAGCCCCCUCCUAAGAAUAGGGCGUUUGCUGACAAUAGAGCAAAUCUUUCUCCUGUGUAUAGGUGCAUGGUAAGUGUUCAGAAUAUGGUAAGUGUCCAUGAGAAGUAUGUACAUUUUUAUUAGGUAUUUAGACCACAAGUGAUUCUUUUAAUGAAAAGGGACACUGAAGGUUAAUUUCUAUUCUUUCCUUCCCUGGGAUGAAUUCCUCCCAUUAGAGCAGUAGGACUUGACGCCAAGCCUUAAGAUGCCUAUUGCCCUAUGACUUUGACCCCAAAUGGUUACCUCCUUGGAGCGGGACAAAGUGAAAGCAAAGUGGAAAGCUAGAGGUCAGCCAGCCUGUGACUAUUCCUUCCCCAUAUGAUUCAUUCAGGAAGAUACUGCAGUUACCUCUGUCUUGUCACCUGACACUUGGACUUUUUGAGAAGAAAUUUUAUCUAUUUAUCUAUCCUCUUAUCUAUCUGUCAUCUUUCUAUCUUUCAUCUAUCUACCAUCUAUCAUGUAUCUCCAGGAACCUAUCUUCAUAAAGAAAUUACAAAUGUUCCUUAUCCAUAUCAUAAAAACAAUAAAGCUGAAAAUAGGCAUUUGCCAUUUUAGGACACCUCAGGAGAAAGUGACAACACAUUGUUUUCCGUCCUCCCCUCAUGUUUUGUAGCUACGCAGCGCAUUAAUUAGACUUUUUAUGUGUUUUUGUCUCCCCACUAGAUUGUGUUUCCUGAGGGUCUGGCCAUGGCUUAUUUACAUUGUUAUCUUUCACUGUUCUCAUUAUAGAACUUGGAACGUUCUUUGCUCAUUCACAUUGGAUGAUUAAAUUGAAUGUGCAGUAAGAAAAAGAUGUUUUUAAAUCAAUGACUUUUUAAAAAUCCGAGGAUAAACGCUAAAGCCAGAGGGCAAACCCCAGCUUGGAGCCACAUUAGGAGGGAACCGAGUCUCCCCUCCUCCUAGGGGCUGCAGUGGGCGGCGCUUGCGCGCUGAGCAUGCGCCUGGGGCUCCAGUCAACCCAGGUCCCCGCUCCUCCCUGGGCUCCAUCUCUUCAGCUCUGAGGGUCUGGAUGAACUCUCACAGUAGGAGUAAGUAUCAGGGGGUAGAUGAGCACGGUGGGGAUGUUUAUGGAAGGGUUUUUUCAAAGGAAAGAAAAAGACAUAGUCCCUCAUCUUGAAGUAGACUAUGAUGACCUAGGGCCCUAGGUCACAGGGAUGGGAACUAUCGUUUUUAGGAAAUAUAUGGAAAGGGGUGGACCCAAUAGUGAGAGAGAUGGAGCAGCAGAGGGGUGGUGUGCGUGUGUGGAGACAGAGUCUGGGGGAGGGAGGAGAGAGAGAGAGAGAGAGAGGGAGCCAAGUUCGAAUUUUUUGGGAAAUGGUCGCGCAGAUCUGCAGUGCUGGGAGCAACAUUCACAGUUUGGUAAAAGACAGCAGAGUGAUGGCCUGCCAAGAAUCUGGAUCCUAAGGAGACCGAGUGGCCCUAUCAAGUACAAAAUCCCUCUUGCUGAUAGAACGACCCCACAGGUAUGCCUGAAGAACUAUCAAAGAUGGCUGGUUUUGAAAUGAGUCAACGGCGUCCAGGGAAGAGAAGUGUUACACGUGAGGAAUAGUAUCCAAGAUGAUAAUGGAGAGGAAACAACCAAAGUGAAGCUUUGCUUGUGACGACCACUCCUUUCUCAGGGAGGGACACAGCCGGCCCACCUGCUUCUUGGGGAGGAGGAGGGUGCAGGGGAGGCCACAGAGCCCCACAGUGUCCCCAAUUCUCUUCCUGUAGCUCCAGAGUCCACUCUACUGCCUCUAAGUGGUUCCCAUUCGUCCUGCAUGCCUCGCAACCUCUUCCAUCAUGGCAGGAGUAGAAGAUGAUAAUGUUGUUCAUCAUUGUGUGGUUCAGAUAGGGGAAAUAAAGGACAGCAAUAAGCCACCAGCCCUCAGGCUCUUAGACAAACAUCAUCGCAGCAAACAAGGGAGCUCUGCCAGCUGCUGACCUAGUGACAGCUACCAGGAAGAAAACACUCAGAUUAGCCAGAUGUGAUGAAGCUAAAAACCUGAGUAGUUGAUACCAAAAGUCUACAGGUAGUAGACCAGGAGCACAAAGAGAAGCAGAAG
Molecule: long non-coding RNA, 6212 nt
Filed under: Heterocephalus glaber (naked mole-rat)
Lineage: Eukaryota; Metazoa; Chordata; Mammalia; Rodentia; Bathyergidae
Description: lncRNA (ENSHGLG00100041029.1)
Source: RNAcentral